Ribosomal RNA from Brugia malayi, 108 nucleotides. RefSeq annotates it as 5.8S ribosomal RNA. The annotation marks the transcript as partial. The transcript has a single exon. The record is from RefSeq and is a predicted model, not a curated record. Lineage: Eukaryota; Metazoa; Nematoda; Chromadorea; Rhabditida; Onchocercidae.
AGGUUUUUAUUAACUUGGUGGUUUUAGCAGAUCCCAUCUCGAAUUCGGAAGUGAAACUUUUUAGCGCUGAUGGUACUUGAAAAGGGAGAGUAGGUCGCUGCCAAGUUU